UGAACCCUUACUGAAUCCAGUCCUCACUUACUGACACAAAGCAUGGAAUUCAUCUGACUAAAUGAAAAGAAAUGGGUGAUUUUGAAAGGGUGAUUCAUCUCAUCUUAAUAUAGAAAUCUAAAACAGGUCAGAUGACUCGCAUCCUAUUUCUUCUGUGGAAUACAAAGGGCCUGAGGAGUCCCCGCUCUGAUGUAGGCAUAUCACAUACAGAUGUCCACAGCUAAAUGGCAUGAAUCUCACUCAAAGCGAAGGAAGAUGUAUAAAACAGGAGCAACAGCAAACAUCUUGGUGGCAGCAUAUGGAAUACUAGAUCUAUGGGGGACUAGGUGCGAGACUCAAGUUUUUGUCAUCAUUGUGACUGCUUGCUAGCUGAAUGAAUUUGGAGCUGAUAUAAGACACAGAGGUCCGGUGGAAGUGAAAAGAAAAGCAAAGGGAUGCAGGCAUUGCAAAGGAAGCAGAUGAACACCAGAUCAAAACUGAGGUUUCUUUAAAUCUUCAGAGAAGACUUCUUGAGAAACAGAGAAAUGAAACAUUUCUUCAUUUAUGUCUAAUAGGACAUGGCUCCAUUUCCUCUCUCGUAUUACAAGGAGGCAGAAUAACAACUUAUUUAGAUCUUCAUGACCAAUCUGUGAUGAAAGAUCCUGCUUCCAUUAGGCAUGGUUUACAUUUAGAAUCUUAAGUUAGUACUGCUUGAUACUACGCUUCUGAGUAUAGGUUACUGUAUAGGUAUUGAUAUUAGAGGUUUAAUCAUUUUUUCCAUGUUCUUACUUUGUGAACAUGAAGACCUGACAAAAGCCACUGACUUGCUAAAUAAACAUACUGAGCUGGAUCCUCCACUGGCUUACUCAGUUCCAAUAAAUUCAUAUUACAUCACUUCAGGAUCUAAUCAGAACAUUUCAAGACAGAUGGUCUUACAGGGUGAUGCUUGUCUUUCUUUAGCAUCUGAUCAAUACUUUGACUAUUGGAAAUUGUUAGAUCUUCUACAAGUGGACCAUUAUAAUUUUCAAAAUAAAAUUAUACUAC
This is a long non-coding RNA of Dromaius novaehollandiae (emu), 1023 nucleotides long. RefSeq lists it as uncharacterized. Lineage: Eukaryota; Metazoa; Chordata; Aves; Casuariiformes; Dromaiidae. The record is from RefSeq and is a predicted model, not a curated record. The transcript has 3 exons.